This 2937-nucleotide ribosomal RNA is filed under the name Solanum tuberosum (potato). RNAcentral's name for it is "eukaryotic LSU rRNA". The stretch from base 860 to 2937 matches the Rfam family "Eukaryotic large subunit ribosomal RNA". Lineage: Eukaryota; Viridiplantae; Streptophyta; Magnoliopsida; Solanales; Solanaceae. The record is from RNAcentral.
UUGGAUUGUUCACCCACAAAUAGGGAACGUGAGCUGAGUUUAGACCAUCGUGAGAGAGGUUAGUUUUACCUUACUGAUGACAGUGUCGCAAUAGUAAUUAGACCUAGUAAGAGAGGAACCGUUAAUUCACAUAAUUUGUCAUCCCGCUUGGUUGAAAAGCCAGUGGCACGAAGCUAUCGUGUGCUCGAUUAUGACUGAACGUCUCUAAGUCAGAAUCCAGGCAAGAAGCGACGCAUGCGCCCGCUGUCCGCUUGCCGACCCGCAGUAGGGGCCUUUAGCACCCAAGGGAUCGUUUUGUUGGCUAAGUCACCGCGAUGGAAGCGUCGCGGUGACUUCGUUGAAGUACAAUUUCCAUCGAACGGUGGGUAGUAUCCUUUGCAGAAGACAUUAAUACACGACGGGGUAUUGUAAGUGGAAGAGUAGCCUUGCUGCCACGAUCCACUGAGAUACAACCCUUUGUCACUUCGAUUCGUCCUCCCCACCUUCCCCCUCCCCUAACCUCAAAUCCAAUUAUUUCUAACAUUUCAAAUGAGAGGUUUAUGUCAGGCUUGCAUACUUGGAAGGAAAAAACCCACUAACUGUUGAAAUAUAAGUUCCGAGAAUAACAUGGUCCAUGAAAUUUACUACUCUACUGCUAUGUGUUGAACUAUACGUUCUAUGCUGAUCAAACACUUGUUCAAUAGCGAUGACGUAUUGCGAGGUUUUUCGUGACGAUGGGUUUAUUUUUCAUGUCUAAUGACAUGUUAAGGGACUAAUAAAUAUGUCGCUAUAAGAGGUUUUUCGCGAUGUCAGGGGCGAUUCUAAAUCCAAGUAAGAUGUCAAGGGCAAUAUAUGUCUAUGUAGGCAGCACGGGCAUUCCAUGUCUGGGGACAGGCGAGAUCAGCCAAAUUCUGCACGCAUCGGACAGGCGACGUAGGCCAACGACAUACGACAUCAGUCCAUGCCAACACGCAUAGGAAGCGGCAUGUGCGUAUCGGUCAAGCAACGUCGGCGAAACGGCAGAUAGCAAUCAGCGAAGGCCUGCAUGCAUCAGAUGUGUCAUGUGUGCAUCAUGCAAGAAACGUCGGUCAACGGCAAAACCUUGGGCAUGACCCUGGGCGGAGCAGCUGUUAGUGCAGAUUUUGGUGGUAGUAGCAAAUAUUCAAAUGAGAACUUUGAAGGGUGAAAAGGGGAAAGGUUCAAUGUGAAUGGCACUAGCACAUGGGUUAGUCGAUCCUAUGGGUCGAGGGAACCCAAACAGAUAAUGCAUUUCGCGCGUACCCCGGAAGGGAAUCGGGUUAAGAUUCCUGAAUCGGGACGUGAAGGUUCACGACAAUGUUAGAAAGUCGGCAGAUGUCGGUGGGAGCCUCGGAAAGAGUUGUCUUUUCUGUUUAACAGCAUGCCCACCAUGGAAUCGGCUCUGCCGGAGGUAGGGUCCAACGGCUGGAAGAGCACCACACGUCGCGUGGUGUCCGGUGCACUCCCGGCGACCCUUUAAAAUCCAGAGGACCGAAUGUUGUCCACGCUUGGUCGUACUCAUAACCGCAUCAGGUCUCCAAAGUGAACAACCUCUAGUUGAUGGAACAAUGUAGGCAAGGAAAGUCGGCAAAAUGGAUCCGUAACUUCGGGAAAAGAAUUGGCUUUGAGGGUUUGGCAUGGGGGUCCCAGUCCCGAACCCACUGGCUGUCGGUGGACUGCUUGAGCGGAUCCCACAGAAAUAGCGGGUCACCGUGUGCCGACCGUGGGACGGACUGGAAAAGGUUCUUUCGGGGGCCUUCCCCGGGAGUCAAACAACCAACUCAGAACUGGUAUAGACAAGGGGAAUUCGACUAUUUAAUUUGAACAAAGCAUUGCGAUGGUCCCAACAAAUGUUUACGCAAAGUUAUUUUUGUCCGGUGCUCUAAAUGUCAAAGUGAAGAAAUUCAACCAUGCGGGGGUAAACGACCGGAGUAACUAUGACUCUCUUAAGGUAGCCAAAUGCCUCGUCAUCUUAUUAGUGAUGCGUAUGAAUGUAUUAAGAAGAUUCCCACUGUCCUUGUCUAAUAUACAGUUAAACCACAGCCAAGGGAACAGGCUUGGCAGAAUCAGCGGGGAAAGAAGACCCUACUGAGCUUGAGUCUAGUCCGACUUUGUGAAAUGACUUCAGAGGUGUAGUAUAAUUGGGAGUCGAAAGGUGAAAGUGAAAUACCAAAACUUUUAACGUUAUUUUACUUAUUCCGUGAAUCGGAAGCGGGGAACUACCCCUAUUUUUGGACCCAAGGCUCGCUUCGCGGGCCGAUCCGGGGGGAAGACAAUGUCAGGUGGGGAGUUUUGCUGGGGCGACACAUCUGUUAAAAGAUAACGCAGGUGUCCUAAGAUGAGCUCAACGAGAAUUGAAAAAUCGUGUGGGUCAGAAGGAUAAAAGCUCGUUUGAUUCUGAUUUCCAGUACGAAUACGAAUCGUUAAAGCGUGGCCUAACGAUCCAUUAGACCUUAGGAAUUCUAAGCUAGAGGUGUCAGAAAAGUUACCACAAGGAUAACUAGCUUGUGACAGCCAAGCUAUAUAGCGAAGUUUAUAUUUGAUCAUUCGAUAUCGGCACUUCCUAUCAUUGUGAAGCGAAAUUCACCAAGUGUUGGAUUGUUCACCCACCAAUAGGGAACGUGAGCUGGGUUUAGACCGUCGUGAGACAGGUUAGUUUUACCCUACUGAUGACAGCCAAGCGUUCAUAGCGACGUUGCUUUUUGAUCCUUCGAUGUCGGCUCUUCCUAUCAUUGUGAAGCAGAAUUCACCAAGUGUUGGAUUGUUCACCCACCAAGUGUUGGAUUUUUCACCGUUGAUUCACAUAAUUGGUCAUCGCGCUUGGUUGAAAAGCCAGUGGCGCGAAGCUACCAUGUGUUGGAUUAUGAAUGAACGCCUCUAAGUUAGAAUCCAGGCAAGAAGCGAUGCAUGCGCCCACCAUUGGCUUGCCGACCCGCAAUA